Molecule: long non-coding RNA, 1108 nt
Filed under: Olea europaea subsp. europaea
Lineage: Eukaryota; Viridiplantae; Streptophyta; Magnoliopsida; Lamiales; Oleaceae
Source: RNAcentral
CUUGGAUCUAAACUGGAAACAGUUUUUGUACUAAUCAAAAGAUAAAUUUCAGGAGACAAAUGAAUGCCAACUCCAGUUUGCAUCUCAUUAUAGGAAAAAAAAAGUUUUAUACAGAGGGCGGAAAACCAUUUCUAAAUCAAUUUUUUAACACUUAGUUUUGUGAAUUGUCCAUCCAAUAAUAUAGUCAAGUGUCCCAUGACACCAUGGUUCCACAACAAACCAGAUUGAUUAUCAAGUUCGUACAAUUACGAUAUGUAGUUGACAAGAAGAGAACAGGUAUCCAACUCUAAAUUGUGAAGAUAAUGAUCUAUCCACAAGAUUAACAUAUUCAUAGCACAAGUUAUAUGAAUCAUUACACUUCCACAAUGUGCCCUGGUUCUAAUCUUUAUACACAAAGCCGAAGGCAAGAAGUAAAUGGGCUGAUUAUCUUAACUCUACGGUACUGCAUAUCAUACUUUGAGUACUUAUUCUCAGAGUGAAAUUAGAUUGAGGAUGUUUUGCCAAGAUUAAAAAGAAGUAAAUGUUAAGCUUCCUUGUUGCAAAAUAUAUUUUAACAGGUUACUUCUCAUGUUAACAAGACUUACUUUUCCAGAGAGUAUAAUUAAACACUAAACUUAGCCAAAAAUGCCCUGAAUGGAGAGCUUAAAAAAAAAAGAUGCAGGAUAUCUUCAGUUUUUACAAAUAAAGUUAUUGUCGAAUCAGAUGGAAAAUGAGAUAUAACUGAAAAGAUACAAGCUCUGGCAUUCAUUUAAGAACUGGACCUUGGCAUUCAUUUGACAAAGUGAUAUUUACAUUUAUAAAUGUUAACUCAAGUCAAUGAAUUACAGCUAUUUAUAGCCAGCUACAUAAAUUCAGUUUCUCCUUCUUGUGUGUGUGUGUGUGUGUGUGUGUUUUUUUUUUUUUUUUUUUUUUUUGGGUCAUAUCACCACCGUCAAUAAGUAGCCAAUUGUUUUUUUCCUUAUGAAUGGAUUCAUCAGUCUUCGCUGGUUUUUUAUAUUCUCUUGAUCAACAGUCACAUUUUUUGCGAUGCUCAUUUUGUUAAUAUACUGAUUUUAGCAGCCUCAUUAUGUUCCAUGAGCACGAAAUUUCCUUUAUAACUUCCUUGAAG